GUAGAGGUGCCUGAGUUGGUGCUUGGGAGAGUCAGAAAAUACUCAUUGUGGGGUUACACUGGAAAAUCAGGAAGCACACCAAGGGAUGGAUCUCGGCUGUCUUUGAGGCCUGCUUGUGGCCUUCUCCAAAGAAUUCUAUGUGCAAGCUAUGUUUUGUGGUAGGUGGGGAGCAUAUGUUUCACUCACACCUAUGGAAACUCAGUCUGAGGUUAGAGGAAACCAUCAACUUGGCCAAUUCUAGUAUUAUCUGACUGCUUGAAAGCAACAUGUAAACCCAAGAUCUUGAAGCCAACCAAUAUGGAAUAUUUUUUUGAGUACUAAAGCACUUACCUAACCUAAUGUUCUCAGAUCCAAAAAGUUUCCUUCCUCCUGCAAAAUACUUUGUCCUUUCUAACAUGGACUCUAUUGCUACAGUAAAAUCCUGACCUUGUGCUGAGAAGAUUGAUCUGCUCAUCAUUUUUUGAAUCCAGGUUUAAAAGCCAAGCAGAGCCGUGUUCAGCAAAACACCAAUGGCAGCAGUUUAUCUUCAUCCUCUUAACAUAGUUCUGCCUCUGUUGUGUUCCUCUCCAAGUGGUGAAAAGAUGUUUUUUCCUAGGUCUGUUUGAAGGAGGUUGGUGUUGGAGGUCUGACCCACAGCAGAACUGUGAUUUGAUAACUUCAGCAGUGUGAACCCUUCUGGGGAACUUUUCUACCAGUGUUACCAGCCUCACAUGAUGAUAGUUUUGUCUGCUCUGGUCAUAUUUGGGCCAAGCUAACCACAGAGAGCUUUCCUGAUUUUGCUUUCUUCUGGCAUUACAGAUGCUACAUGCCUGAGUAAUGAACCAGAAGUUGAAACCCAUUUAGGAAUGUCCUAAAUCAUCAUCAAAGGAAGGGCUUGUAUUCAAGCAUGGUCUGCAUCCCCAUCCUGGUAUUUCUGCUUGAGGACUGGUCGUAGCUGAGGCUGCUGACAAUUUUGCUGUGAUAUUCUGGUGGAGGAGGCAUCAGUCCCUGAGGCUGCCCUGGCACCCUCCCCUGGCAUUUGAGCAAGGGAGGUGUGCAUUUUUGUGGUUGCUCUGACAUGGAGCGGGAGGAGGGAUUCAUGUCAGAGAUUUCUGGCUGGGGGCAGCUGUCUCUGACAUGCUCACAGUGGGCAGGAGACAUCAUGUGCUGGAAGUCCCCUUGACCUGGCAGCCCUGGCAGCCAGUUUGCUAUCCCUGGACCUUCAGCCAGGCAUCUUCAUAGUCUGGGAAGAGUCACCCUUCCCCGUGGACUGGAGGGAGUGAUAUUGUCCCUGUGUUUGAUGCUGCUUGCAGUCUGAUGGCAUCCUCAAAAUCGGCAUGUGAUGGCUUGGGGAGGAACAACAGGUGGUGAGAGAAGGGUGUAGCUUUUUCCUUUUCACCUGAAGGAAACCAGAAGUGUUCUUCCUGUGUGGAAGUUCAGUCAUCUGAGCACAAUUCACCCGAGAGGAGUGGGACCUCACACUUCUGC
RNAcentral lists this long non-coding RNA (1467 nucleotides) under Cyanoderma ruficeps (rufous-capped babbler). Its description in RNAcentral is "lncRNA (ENSCRFG00000004119.1)". The record is from RNAcentral. Lineage: Eukaryota; Metazoa; Chordata; Aves; Passeriformes; Timaliidae.